RNAcentral lists this transfer RNA (83 nucleotides) under Schistocephalus solidus. It matches the Rfam family "tRNA". From Rfam's summary of the family: Transfer RNA (tRNA) molecules are approximately 80 nucleotides in length. Lineage: Eukaryota; Metazoa; Platyhelminthes; Cestoda; Diphyllobothriidea; Diphyllobothriidae. The record is from Rfam by way of RNAcentral.
GGCAUCGUAGCUCAGUUGGCUAGAGCGUUGGCUGUACCAAAGCCUAUCCCUUGCUGGCGUGGAUUCGAAUCUAACCGAGGCCG